UACGUAGGCAGCAAGCGUUGUUCGGAAUUACUGGGCGUAAAGAGUGUGUAGGCGGUGCUCCAAGUCUGGUGUGAAAUCUCCCGGCUUAACUGGGAGGGUGCAUUAGAAACUGGAAUGCUAGAGGAUGGGAGAGGUAAGCGGAAUUCCUGGUGUAGCGGUGAAAUGCGUAGAUAUCAGGAGGAACACCUGUGGUGUAGACAGCUUACUGAACCAUUUCUGACGCUGAGACACGAAAGCGUGGGUAGCAAACAGG
RNAcentral lists this ribosomal RNA (253 nucleotides) under uncultured bacterium. RNAcentral describes it as "partial 16S ribosomal RNA". It matches the Rfam family "Bacterial small subunit ribosomal RNA", at positions 524 to 776 of the family's 1533-position model. The record is from RNAcentral.